RNAcentral lists this transfer RNA (73 nucleotides) under Ailuropoda melanoleuca (giant panda). It matches the Rfam family "tRNA". From Rfam's summary of the family: Transfer RNA (tRNA) molecules are approximately 80 nucleotides in length. Their secondary structure includes four short double-helical elements and three loops (D, anti-codon, and T loops). Further hydrogen bonds mediate the characteristic L-shaped molecular structure. tRNAs have two regions of fundamental functional importance: the anti-codon, which is responsible for specific mRNA codon recognition, and the 3' end, to which the tRNAs corresponding amino acid is attached (by aminoacyl-tRNA synthetases). tRNAs cope with the degeneracy of the genetic code in two manners: having more than one tRNA (with a specific anti-codon) for a particular amino acid; and 'wobble' base-pairing, i.e. permitting non-standard base-pairing at the 3rd anti-codon position. Lineage: Eukaryota; Metazoa; Chordata; Mammalia; Carnivora; Ursidae. The record is from Rfam by way of RNAcentral.
GUCUGGCUGGCUCAGUUGGUAAAGCAUGUGACUCUUGAUCUUAUGGUUGUGAGUUUGAGCCCCAUGUGAGAUU